GCGGCGGACGGGUGAGUAAUGUCUGGGAAACUGCCUGAUGGAGGGGGAUAACUACUGGAAACGGUAGCUAAUACCGCAUAAUGUCGCAAGACCAAAGUGGGGGACCUUCGGGCCUCAUGCCAUCAGAUGUGCCCAGAUGGGAUUAGCUAGUAGGUGGGGUAACGGCUCACCUAGGCGACGAUCCCUAGCUGGUCUGAGAGGAUGACCAGCCACACUGGAACUGAGACACGGUCCAGACUCCUACGGGAGGCAGC
RNAcentral lists this ribosomal RNA (254 nucleotides) under Acinetobacter baumannii. RNAcentral describes it as "partial 16S ribosomal RNA". It matches the Rfam family "Bacterial small subunit ribosomal RNA", at positions 95 to 352 of the family's 1533-position model. The record is from RNAcentral. Lineage: Bacteria; Pseudomonadati; Pseudomonadota; Gammaproteobacteria; Moraxellales; Moraxellaceae.